GAGAGCGCCAAAACGCAACAAGGACACCCACCCAUACACGAUCCCUGUUGUGGGUUAACGUGAACAGGAAAUACUAGCCCCGUAUGACCACAAAUGGAUGUCAAAUAUCACCACACUCGAUCUCAAGGGAACCUCAUACAUAAUUAAGUAAACGUACUAAUCAUUCUCAUGACUAGGACCGUUCCUGCGAGAGAGCUGCUUUUCUGACGUUACGGGUGCAAUAUUGAUACGUGUUUACUACCAACAUGGAACUAGAGGAAACAGACGCCAAAGGUUCCAUGCUCAUGCUCCCUGAUAGUUCUCUGAAACGAGGCUGGCGGAAGCAGAAGGACGGAAGGGAGACAACCGCAGAUGACACAAAAUGUGGGAUUGGAGUUUGCACACCAAAUUGUAUUCAAUGUUGCGGCUCAAUGGCUGCUUUUACGGCAGUUUACAGUUUUUCAGGACUGCUCACGACUGCCUUGCAAGUCUAUAUAUCCUCCCAAAUCACAGCCCUUGAGCGUCAUUUUGGCUUCAGCAGCUCCGUCAGUGGUUUUCUUAUAAGUUGCAAUGAGAUAGGAUUCGUGUUGGUCACUGUCGUUAUGAGUUAUUUCAUUCGGAGACUGCACAUCCCCCGAUUGUUGUCCCUGACAACUUUGUUCUACGGCAUUGCGGGUUUGAUAUGCGUUAUACCAUUUAUAUUAACACGCGAUUUAAUAAAUCCUGCAAGUGACUCAAACAUCACGUCUGUCUUUCAAACUGGACCACUGUGUCAUCUGGAGGUCACCGUUGCCCCGACGUCUCCGGCAAAUUCAACGGGGAAAGCCGAGUGCAGCGAUACCAAGUUUUCGUAUGUACAGGACGAGACGAUGAAGAAGAUCUCCAUUGCUCUCUUCGCCCUGGGGAUGCUUAUCCAAGGUGUCGGUAAAGCCCCUAGGGCUCCAGGGCUCACGACGUACGUUGAUGAUAAUGUUCCGAAAACCAAAACAGCCAUGUACAUGGGUUUCAUCAUGGGGACUUCAAUCUGUGCCAUGGCCAUAGCCUUCGGUGUCGGAGGAGUGUUCAGCAAGAUGUUCAUCACAUUACAAGCAACGAACAUAACUCCGACGCAUCCUCGGUGGCUCGGGGCAUGGUGGCUGGGAUUCCUGGUGUUCGGGAUGCUGUCAAUCAUCUUCUCCUUCCCCAUCAUGUGUUUCCCCCGACGGAUGAGGUCAGCUGAAGACAGGGCGGGAACUCAAGGCAAGACACCCAUUAAAGUCACAGGCUUCCUGAGCGCUCUGGUUCGACUCGUUAGCAACCCUAUCUACUUCCCCAUCGUCAUGGGCAACUGUGUCACCCUCUUCAGCAUCGGCGGGAUGAUGGCCUUCAUCCCCAAAUACAUGGAGACACAGUUCACGUUGCCAGCCUGGAAGUCAAACAUGAUCAUUGGUGGUUUAAGCAUAGUUACGAACUGUGCGGGAACAAUCAUUGGCGGGAUUGUGACAUCAAAGAUGAAGUUAUCUCCCUUGACUUGUCUGAAGGUGACAGUGGGAAUUAUCUUCUUCUCCCUUGUUAUACAAACAUCGCUGAACUUCCUAGGUUGCGAGAAUCCCGUCAUUAGCAAAGGAGAGAUGACCCCUCGGAACACUACAAUGUACAUUGGUACACACAAUUCAACCUCGUUUACGAUGACCCCCUCUAGUGGAUGUAACAGUGACUGUGGCUGCACAAACACCAUCUACUUCCCUAUGUGUGGCGCCGACGGUGUCAACUACUUCUCCCCCUGCCACGCCGGCUGCAGCGACUUCAGCAUCAAUCAUACCUACUCCAACUGCUCAUGCGUGGGCGGAAGUAUGAAAACAGCGACACCUGGACUGUGUACUCCGGAAUGCCCUAUGUUCUACGCCUUCGCUGCAGUGACAGUGGUUGGGGGAUUUAUCAUGACAAUGGCGGCGAUGCCAGUUCUUAUUGCUGUCAUAAGAAGUGUCAGCGAGGAAGACAAGCCGGUUGCUGUAGGUUUGGGUGGAUUUUUAUACACGCUUUUAGGCUUCCUACCAGGGCCGAUAUUGUUCGGUUGGUUGAUUGACAAAGCCUGCCUUCACUGGAAUUCCGGAUGUGGAGGGAAAGGCGCAUGCGCACUAUACGACAUAGAGUUGUUCCGGUACCUGGUGAUGGGCAUACCGUCCGUGGCUCGGGUCUUGACUCUUCUCUUGUACACGUUUGCUCUGUGCAUGGCGCUAAGGCCGGACUCGAGAUACCGAAAAUAUGAGGCGGAGCAAGGCACAAAGGAAGAAAAAAUGAAAAUGAAACCAAUAUAGAAAUUUAAUACCAUUCUUAACCUGUUUCAUGUCUUCAUUCCAGAAAGAAGCAUUGCAUCUUGCUAAACUCACUUGGAUAUGCCACCGUAAGAAUCCUCGAAUAUUUUAACUGUUUACUUACGGAAAGGGAGUGAUACAGUGUUACGUUUCCAAAGACAACUUAGUGGAAAAUUAGUUUAAUUAAUUACAAAUCCCCAUACGGUCUCUACAUGUUAUGGACUUGGACAAAUAUAUUGGGUUUUGGGGUUGCCUUGUGGUAAAGUCGUUUUCUCCCCAAACAGAAGUUCCUGGUUCCAUUUCCCGCACGGACGGAUACUGUGCGUGAAGUUAAUCCUUGGUGAAAUUUAUCAUUGGUGUUCGCACGGUGAUAGCUGACAAUAUCAGCGUACACCAUUCUCACGUACACACAAAUAGUGCAGUUCUACCUCAGUGUCCGGGAGAGAACACUUUGAGUGAGUGAGUAUGGUUUUACGCCGCUUUUAGCAAUAUUCCAGCAAUAUCACGGCGGGGGACACCAGAAAUGGGCUUCACACAUUGUACCCAUGUCGGGAAUCGAACCCGGGUCUUCGGCUUGACGAGCGAACGCUUUAACUACUAGGCUACCCGACUGCCCCGAGAACACCUUGAAGGGCAAGUCGAAAGAGCCAAGCAAUCGUUUGCGGACAAACAGUGAAAACUAUCAUUUUGGUAAAUUCUGAGGCAAAAAUAUUUUAUUCCAGGAUUUCGGAAACAUAUUUUUGAAACUCCAAGCUCCCCUACUUCAUCCUGCGUAACCAGUUUCACCCUCCUGUUGCUCACCAACACAAAGCCACAAACACAAUCUCAUUAAAAUCAGAUUUUAUUGUCGCUACUGCUAAACAAAGAUCUGAGGACGUCCCUUUAGGGGUCACGUCAGAACAAACUUUCAUCCGACCAGUCAGUGCGUCGCUUACCAGAUCA
This 3215-nucleotide unclassified non-coding RNA is filed under the name Haliotis rufescens (red abalone). RNAcentral's name for it is "solute carrier organic anion transporter family member 2A1-like, transcript variant X1". The record is from RNAcentral. Lineage: Eukaryota; Metazoa; Mollusca; Gastropoda; Lepetellida; Haliotidae.